GCGGCAUUCCCUUCAGUGGGAACGGCGGAGAGGAGGUUGUAUGUGCAAGUGAGGCCAGCGGUGAUUGGUUAUGUGCUGUCUGUGUGUUUUAACAGUCACUUGAACCAAUUUCAGCUUCAUCAUAAAAGAGCGGGACACACAAUGGAGAAGUCAUCAGUUCAUCACAAGAAGAUAAGUGCUGACCUUCAUCCUUUUGUGGGGUCAGUUUGGAAAAACCUGUCAGCCUGAUGUGGCGUUUAUCAGACUGGGGGAGGGGAGAAGGAGUACUUGGACAGUACUGACAUUUACAAAGAGAAGCUGCAAACACCUUCUUAUAUUAUCAGUAUGAUAAACACAGACCAUGUACUGUCACUUUCCUCCUGUGGUUUUCUGAUCCAAAUAUACUUGACUGGUUCUGACUCUUUCCCUGCAUUAAACCGCAAACAUUGAGAUUGGUUUAUGGACAGACUGUCACACCCAAUGAAGGAAAUCAACAUUGUUGACCGUAUGGGGAAAAUGCCAACUAGCAAUGUUUGUCCUAUAAAACAUCUUCAUCCACUCAAUUGCAGAACACACUGAAUCCCUUUUGGGGGCACAGGAGAUUAUCCCAGCUGCUGUUUGGUGACGGUGGGGUACACACUGGAUAGAUUGACACUCCAUGCACACUCAUACACCUGAAAGCUAGCAUCAUCAGUUUACCCAGGGGUGUACAAAGUCGGCCCUUGAGGGCAGAUGUCCUACUUGUUUUCCAAUCAACCUGCCUUUGAAGCUCCUUAUUGGCCAAACACACCUGAUCAAGGUAAUCAGCAGCAAAUAAGGCAGAGUUUCUGGAAAACCAGUAGGAAGACAGCCCUCAAGAACCAACUUUGGACACCCCUGAAUUAACUUAUAAAGCAUUUAGACAGAAAAGUCCCAGCUGGGAUUUGGACCAGGGCCUUCUUUCUAUGAGGUGAGAGUGCUAACCAUUGCGCACCAUGCAGCCCAAAAACCUCAUUAUUCAUAUAAUCUGUAGUUGAUUUCCAUAAGCCAUUUUAAAAGUCAUUCUUAUUUAUUUGGUGCAUUUGGAUCCCCAGACUGAAAUGAAUGUAAAGUCAGUGGAGAGCUUUUCAUGUGAGUAACUCUAUUAGUUGAAAUGAUCCCAGAGUUUCAUUACCAUAGCAAAUGUGCAGUAUUCCAGUGGAUGUGAUGAAUGCAUCUCUUAUCUCCAUAAAAAGAACAAACCACAUUUCACACGUUGAAUUGGUGAGACGGGAACAAUUAGUGAAGCUGUGUGGAGGUUUAAUUGAAGUGUUAACAUGCUUGAAUAGCUUAUUUAGCAUCUUUUGUUUGUACCAAACCAGAGUUCAUGUCAAAUUUCAACACAUUUUUUGUGUGUGAGACUUGUGAGGGGAAGGGUCAGACUAUUAAAAUAUCUACAUUUUUUGUUUACUUACCUUCCUAUUGAUGUUUUUUGCAUCACUGACCACAUUUUGCUGUGUCACAUGCAAUUAAAUCACAGUGAUGGGAUGCACUUGAAUAUUUUACGAGAAACCAUGCAGUUUUUUAUAAAUUAGGUUUAAGUUAUAAUCAGUGCAGACAUUCACAAUGUCGAGCCAAUCAGCUGCCUUACACUCUAAGAGGGCAGUGGGAUUAGCAUUAAAAUCAAGCCUGGUCCUGGUGCUGAGGCGACUGAUGAGAUUGAAGGCAGAAUGAUCGAAUUUCAAUGAGUUUCAAAGGUCUGGCCUUCUUUUGUUUUUGAUAUUGGGGAACACUGCCUGGUGAGAUGUCGCUCAAAACCAGGGAGACAAAAAAAAUACAAAUGAAAAGGAUUUUCUUGGUCACCUACACAGAUCAGUGGAUUUACUGCAUGUAAUUGGGGUGAGAUUAACACAAAUCUGACCAGAUCUCAUCCACAAUAUAAUUGAAGGCACUAAUACGAAAGCUCAUUAUAAAAAGAGACCAGCCUUUAGUGGUGUUUGACAAAAGGGCAAGGUAUUCAAAAAUCAAUGCAACAUAAUCUGUCACCUGCAGCUAUAUUAGUUUCUGGUCAGAGUUCAUCAAAAUGAUCAUUAAUAGGACUUUCUUGGAUCAUGUUUUGUAAAUCCUCUGAUUCUUCAGUUUCUGGAAGUCAAGUUGCUUGAAUAUAGUAGGAAUAAUUUAAAGUGCGUGUUUUUACUUUCUCCUUUUCCAUCAAGUUUUUGCAUCAAAACAAAGCCAUCUAUUAUUUUUUCUCAUCGACAAUAAAUUGUGCUAAACUUGUGAAAAAAUGGUAAAACAUUUUAAUUCAGUUGAUGACCCUUAUUUACCUCAUUCAAAUAUUUUUAUUCACCUUCCUGUAAAACAUUUGUCAAAUUUUGCAUUUAGUAUUAAAAACUACUAAUGUCUUCUCAUCUUUUUAAACAGUGAGGAACAAGUUUUUGAAUGCAAAUCUUUUUUACUUUGGAUUUUGAAUAACAAACACCUGCACAGUUUCUAAUUAUGCAAAUGAGUAGUUUGAAUAGGGUAAAUAAGAACUUGUUGAGUUGUUGCACCUGGUUGAUCAACAAGAAACUUGGCUGAAAGGAGACACCGAUUUGAAAUACUGCAACUUUUGAAAUCUACAAUUUUGGACGAUCGUGGACUGAGUCUGAAAUUUAAAAACAACUUAAAAUAAGCCUUAUAGAAAAAUCAAAGUAUGCUGAGAGUUUUUGUUUACAGUAGUUUUGCUGUUGAAGCUUUGACAACGCAAUCACUCUGAGAAGAUAAAACAUCUACAUUCCUGAGAUAAGGAACCAAGUUUCUUCUAACGUUGCAAAGUACAAGACGCACACGUUUAUGAACCAAAAAAAAAA
Molecule: long non-coding RNA, 2789 nt
Organism: Oryzias melastigma (Indian medaka)
Lineage: Eukaryota; Metazoa; Chordata; Actinopteri; Beloniformes; Adrianichthyidae
Exons: 3
Source: RefSeq, a predicted model, not a curated record